This 486-nucleotide ribosomal RNA is filed under the name uncultured bacterium. Its description in RNAcentral is "partial 16S ribosomal RNA". It matches the Rfam family "Bacterial small subunit ribosomal RNA", at positions 28 to 507 of the family's 1533-position model. The record is from RNAcentral.
GAUGAACGCUAGCGGCAGGCUUAACACAUGCAAGUCGAGGGGCAGCGCGGGAUAGCAAUAUCCUGGCGGCGACCGGCGGAAGGGUGCGUAACGCGUGAGCGACAUGCCCGUUGCCCGGGGACAACCGGUGGAAACGCCGACUAAUCCCCGAUGGGAUAUUGUGCCGCAUGGCACGAUAUUGAAAGUUACGGCGGCGACGGAUUGGCUCGCGUCCGAUUAGCUUGUUGGCGGGGUAACGGCCCACCAAGGCUGCGAUCGGUAGGGGUUCUGAGAGGAAGGCCCCCCACAAUGGGACUGAGACACGGCCCAUACUCCUACGGGAGGCAGCAGUGAGGAAUAUUGGUCAAUGGGCGGAAGCCUGAACCAGCCAUGCCGCGUGCGGGAGGGAGGCCCUAUGGGCUGUGAACCGCUUUUGCCUGGGGGCAAUAAGGGCGUCGCGCACGUCCGAUGAGAGUACCAGGCGAAUAAGCAUCGGCUAACUCCGUG